This 407-nucleotide ribosomal RNA is filed under the name uncultured bacterium. RNAcentral describes it as "partial 16S ribosomal RNA". It matches the Rfam family "Bacterial small subunit ribosomal RNA", at positions 28 to 526 of the family's 1533-position model. The record is from RNAcentral.
GACGAACGCUGGCGGCGUGCCUAAUACAUGCAAGUAGAACGCAGUUGAGAACGGGUGAGUAACGCGUAGGUAACUGCCUCAUAGCGGGGGAUAACUAUUGGAAACGAUAGCUAAUACCGCAUACUGUGAGAUGGACGUGAGUUGUAUUAGCUAGUUGGUGAGGUAAAGGGUCACCAAGGCGACGAUACAUAGCCGACCUGCGAGGGUGGUCGGCCCAACUGGGACUGAGACACCGCCCAGGAUCCUCCGGGUGGGCGCAGUAGGGAAACUUUGGCAAUGGGCGGCAGUCCUACCGCGCAACGCCGCGUGAUUUAAGCAGGUUUUUGGAUCGUAAAACUCUGUUGUGAGAGGAGCGGUAACUAACCAGAAAGGGCCGGCUAACUACGUGCCAGCCGCCGCGGUAAUAC